Molecule: ribosomal RNA, 1233 nt
Filed under: Bacillus zhangzhouensis
Lineage: Bacteria; Bacillati; Bacillota; Bacilli; Caryophanales; Bacillaceae
Description: bacterial SSU rRNA
Rfam family: Bacterial small subunit ribosomal RNA
Source: RNAcentral
CGUUCGCGCUGCUACUACAGGACCCGAGCCUAAGCAUUAGGGUAAGGUCCAGGCACGUGUGCGUGCCACUUGAGGCGUAUGGCCCACUGGACUGGGACUGCUGAUCUACGGGGCAGCGUAGGAUCUCGCAUGGACGAGUCGAUGAGCACGCCGCUGAGUGAUGAGGUUUCGAUCGUAAGCUCUGUUGUUAGGGAGACAUGCAGAGUACUGCUCGCACUGACGUACUACAGAAAGCAGCUACUACGUGCAGCAGCGCGGUAUAGUAGGUGGCAGCGUGUCGGAAUUAUUGGGCGUAAAGGGCUCGCGGCGGUUCUUAAGUUGAUGUGAAAGCCCCCGCUCACCGGGGAGGGUCAUUGGAAACUGGGAAACUUGAGUGCAGAGAGGAGAGUGGAAUUCCACGUGUAGCGUGAAAUGCGUAGAGAUGUGGAGGAACACCAGUGGCGAGGGCGACUCUCUGGUCUGUAACUGACGCUGAGGAGCGAAGCGUGGGGAGCGAACAGGAUUAGAUACCCCUGGUAGUCCACGCCGUAAACGAUGAGUGCUAAGUGUUAGGGGGUUUCCGCCCCUUAGUGCUGCAGCUAACGCAUUAAGCACUCCGCCUGGGGAGUACGGUCGCAAGACUGAAACUCAAAGGAAUUGACGGGGGCCCGCACCAGCGGUGGAGCAUGUGGUUUAAUUCGAAGCAACGCGAAGAACCUUACCAGGUCUUGACAUCCUCUGACAACCCUAGAGAUAGGGCUUUCCCUUCGGGGACAGAGUGACAGGUGGUGCAUGGUUGUCGUCAGCUCGUGUCGUGAGAUGUUGGGUUAAGUCCCGCAACGAGCGCAACCCUUGAUCUUAGUUGCCAGCAUUUAGUUGGGCACUCUAAGGUGACUGCCGGUGACAAACCGGAGGAAGGUGGGGAUGACGUCAAAUCAUCAUGCCCCUUAUGACCUGGGCUACACACGUGCUACAAUGGACAGAACAAAGGGCUGCAAGACCGCAAGGUUUAGCCAAUCCCAUAAAUCUGUUCUCAGUUCGGAUCGCAGUCUGCAACUCGACUGCGUGAAGCUGGAAUCGCUAGUAAUCGCGGAUCAGCAUGCCGCGGUGAAUACGUUCCCGGGCCUUGUACACACCGCCCGUCACACCACGAGAGUUUGCAACACCCGAAGUCGGUGAGGUAACCUUUAUGGAGCCAGCCGCCGAAGGUGGGGCAGAUGAUUGGGGUGAAGUCCGUAACCCAGUGGCCUUUGG